UAAGGAAUAUUGGUCAAUGGACGCAAGUCUGAACCAGCCAUGCCGCGUGGAGGAUGAAGGUCCUCUGGAUUGUAAACUUCUUUUAUCUGGGACGAAACACUUCUUUUCUAAGAGGCCUGACGGUGCCAGAUGAAUAAGCACCGGCUAACUCCGUGCCAGCAGCCGCGGUAAUACGGAGGGUGCAAGCGUUAUCCGGAUUCACUGGGUUUAAAGGGUGCGUAGGUGGGUAUGUAAGUCAGUGGUGAAAUCCCCGAGCUUAACUCGGGAACUGCCAUUGAUACUAUAUAUCUUGAAUACCGUAGAGGUAAGCGGAAUAUGUCAUGUAGCGGUGAAAUGCUUAGAUAUGACAUGGAACACCAAUUGCGAAGGCAGCUUACUAUGCGGUGAUUGACACUGAGGCACGAAAGCGUGGGUAGCAAACA
Molecule: ribosomal RNA, 422 nt
Filed under: uncultured bacterium
Lineage: Bacteria
Description: bacterial SSU rRNA
Rfam family: Bacterial small subunit ribosomal RNA
Source: RNAcentral